Long non-coding RNA from Vidua macroura (Pin-tailed whydah), 1446 nucleotides. RefSeq lists it as uncharacterized. The record is from RefSeq and is a predicted model, not a curated record. The transcript is spliced from 3 exons. Lineage: Eukaryota; Metazoa; Chordata; Aves; Passeriformes; Viduidae.
UACUUGUUUUUUCAUGAAAUAGUUAACCAGUAGGUUUGAGGGGGUACUAGCCAAAAGAGACCUUUUAUUGAUGUUUACAUUGUUUAUUAAUUCCACAUAAGAUAGAGGCAUUCUGUGGUGGAGCCAUAGCAAAAAGUGUAAAAGGGGCAUGAAAACCCUUUACCUGGCAGCAAGUGCUGCCUCAAUCCCUCAAGCCCCAGACACGGACCAUCAUUAAGAUAUAGGGACACAUCACUGCUGCUGAUAGCUGAGUGCUGUGAGGACUCCUCCUGCAUUUACUGUUUUGUUAGCUCCCAUUUGUUAUUCCUUAUCUCUGCUCUGUCUCCAUACGUUUCCUGGUGAAGGCAAUAUGUUGUUUUGAGGGUUUUUUCCACUGAGAAAUGAGCUCGAAAAAUUUAGUUUUGCCAAAUACACAUGAAAGGAAUUGAAACAUGCUGCUUUUCCUGAUGCUGGCAGCAGUUCAGUGAUCCCAGUGGUGGCCUCAGUGGUGGCACGUGGAUAUUCUCAGCUCAGUCAGAGAGAAAGAGAAAGGUUUUCUAACCAGGCAAGAGCCUGGGAAACAGUUGGGAAAGAAUGUAAAUAAUUCUCUAAUCUAUCUUGUUAUUCACAUUGUUUAUAGAUAUGUUCUGCUACUGUGCGUCAUUCACUGCCCACCAAUGGUGUGACAUGUUUUUACUCUAAGACCAAUGAAAUUAGCCUUCUCGAUGUUCUCUAUAUAUAGAGUGGUACAUUUGAAAUAAAGAGAGAGCUCAUUUUCUUUGCCUUCUGAUCUGGAGUUCUCUGUUCCCGUCCUGCUCGACAGCGACAGUGGCAGGAAUGGCCACAGGAGCUGCAGGAAUGGGAGCACAGAGCAGCAGGAGGCUGUGCCUGUCUCAUGAACCAUUGUAUCUUGCCUACUGGAGGACAUUCUGCAUUACAAGUGAGAGAACACAAAAAUUUAAAGGACUUUACAGGGUUUAUUUUGACUUUGCCUUUUCCUGAUGAAGAACAUUUCGGGUUUGAUUCUUAAUGAUCUGAAAAUUCCUAUCAUUUGGUGUGUGAAACGGUUAAGACUCUUCAUCAGCUGUGCCUUGGCCUUCCCCUGUUUACUCUGUAAUAGAGUUAUAGGCUAAUGAGGAGUAAGAGUCAUUCAGUUAAAACACAGGUGUGAAACUGUGCAAGAAAAGAGGAAUAAAAGGUUCAUAUUUAGCUUGGCAUGGUGCUCUUUAAUCAUCUCUUGCCUUAAGGAUGCUUGGCUCUGCCAGGGAAGCCCAAAGUCCUUCAGGCCAGAGUCCAUCUCUGCCCAGAAAUGUUCAUGUUCCUGUUUGUUUGUUCUUUGGCCCAGAAGCCCGGUAAUCUGGGCUUUUCCCAAAGAUUAUGUACUUGUGGCACAGGCCCCUGUAGUACAUCCAGUGUGUUUGGAAGAUGUCUGUUUUAUGGUUUUAUUAUGGAAAUAAGAAUUCUCAG